CCCACCCCCAUCCCAAGUUCAACAUUUGCACAACUAAUGAGCAAAACAUUUCAGCUGAAACUCUUUUUUUUAACUUGCAAACUAUGGCUGCAUACCAAAUUACAGUGUUUAUUUAAAAGGCAUCAAUAUUUAAUUAGGUUUAUUCUAAUCUCCCGUUAGUCUGCUCAGAAGUCUCAUUGUGGCUGUUGAAAUAUUUAAAUUCAUUAGAGCUAAGAGAAAGAUGCUUUGCUUAAUUGUACAGGUAGUUCCUGGAAAAAAAUAAUGUUCACGCAGACACACUAUGGAUUCUGUUCCUUAAGGGUUUAAAGGUUCAGGAUAUUUAAUGUAUUUGCUGCUGAUAUUAAUUAGCUUCGAAAGCAAGACAAUGUGUUGUGUUUUACCGGAAGGUAUCUUGCGCGUGUGUGUACUUGUUUAUCAGAUAAAACCCCUAACGUUUAAUAAUACUGUAUAGUGAUAAUGACAACUGUGUGUGUGUCUGUACGCACGUCUCUGUGCGUGUGUGUGUGUGUAUCAGAGGGAGCACCCCCCCAUCCACAUCGAUGGGACUACAGUGGAGAAUUUGAAAGCUUCAAGUUCCUUGGCGUACACAUCACUGACCAUCUGAAAUGGUCCACCCACGCAGACAGUGUGGUGAAGAAGGCGCAACAGCGCCUCUUCAACCUUGAGGAGGCCAUUGUCACUUAGGGGUGUACUCACUUUUGUUGCCAGCGGUUUAGACAUUAAUGGCUGUGUGUUGAGUUAUUUUGAGGGGACAGCAAAUUUACACUGUUAUACAAUCUGUACACUCACUACUUUACAUUGUAGCAAAGUGUCAUUUCUUCAGUGUUGUCACAUGAAAAGAUAUACUCAAAUAUUUACAAAAAUGUGAGGGGUGUACUCACUUUUGUGAUAUACUGUAUGUGUAUGUGACCAAUAACAUUCGAUUUGUAUGUGUGAUUGUCUGUGUACAUACACUAUCAGCUACCUCAGAAUAAUUGCUGUGUGUUUGUCCAGCGAUCACAAGCCUCUCAUCCCUGCUCUAUACAUAUUUCCCCAUAGCCUGAUUUCUAGGCGUCACUGCACACGUCUCUGGCCAAACAACGUUUUUUAUUUACUUCAAUCUGAUCUUUCUUCACUACUUUUCAUGUAGCAUUAUCCAGAACAAAUAUCUGUGCAUAGUAUUUCUAAGCCAAAUAAUGCAUGGUUGUUGAAUCUAUAUUUCUCAUGAAAGUCUGUAAGAGCAUGAUACCUGUAGCAUUUAAACUAAAAUGACCAUGG
This is a long non-coding RNA of Oncorhynchus tshawytscha (Chinook salmon), 1257 nucleotides long. The record is from Ensembl. NCBI's taxonomy places the organism in Eukaryota, Metazoa, Chordata, Actinopteri, Salmoniformes, Salmonidae.